GAAAUGCGAUAAGUAAUGUGAAUUGCAGAAUUCAGUGAAUCAUCGAAUCUUUGAACGCACAUUGCGCCCGCCAGUAUUCUGGCGGGCAUGCCUGUUCGAGCGUCAUUUCCACCAUCAGGCCCCCGGGCCUGUGUUGGGGACCUGCGGCUGCCCGCAGGCCCCGAAAUUCAGUGGCGGUCGCGCCGUAGCAACCGAGCGUAGUAACUAAAACGUCUCGCUCUGGCUCGCUGGGCGCGCUCCGGCCGUAAAACACCCCCCCUUUUCGCAAAGGUUGACCUCGGAUCAGGUAGGGAUACCCGCUGAACUUAAGC
This 311-nucleotide unclassified non-coding RNA is filed under the name plant metagenome. RNAcentral describes it as "partial contains 5.8S ribosomal RNA, internal transcribed spacer 2, and large subunit ribosomal RNA". The stretch from base 1 to 105 matches the Rfam family "5.8S ribosomal RNA", at positions 50 to 154 of the family's 154-position model. The record is from RNAcentral.